UACGUAGGGUGCAAGCGUUGUCCGGAAUUAUUGGGCGUAAAGAGCUCGUAGGCGGUUCGUCGCGUCGGCUGUGAAAACCUGAGACUCAACCUCAGGCCUGCAGUCGAUACGGGCGGACUUGAGUACUGCAGGGGAGACUGGAAUUCCUGGUGUAGCGGUGAAAUGCGCAGAUAUCAGGAGGAACACCGGUGGCGAAGGCGGGUCUCUGGGCAGUAACUGACGCUGAGGAGCGAAAGCGUGGGGAGCGAACAGG
This 253-nucleotide ribosomal RNA is filed under the name uncultured bacterium. Its description in RNAcentral is "partial 16S ribosomal RNA". It matches the Rfam family "Bacterial small subunit ribosomal RNA", at positions 524 to 776 of the family's 1533-position model. The record is from RNAcentral.